GCAUGGUGGUUCAAUGGUAGAAUUCUCACCUCCCACAUGGGAGACCUGGGUUUGAUUCCCAGCCAGUGCA
This 70-nucleotide transfer RNA is filed under the name Loxodonta africana (African savanna elephant). It matches the Rfam family "tRNA". Rfam says of the family: Transfer RNA (tRNA) molecules are approximately 80 nucleotides in length. Their secondary structure includes four short double-helical elements and three loops (D, anti-codon, and T loops). The record is from Rfam by way of RNAcentral. Lineage: Eukaryota; Metazoa; Chordata; Mammalia; Proboscidea; Elephantidae.